AUACAGAGGGUGCGAGCGUUAAUCGGAAUUACUGGGCGUAAAGCGCGCGUAGGCGGUCUAUUAAGUCAGAUGUGAAAUCCCAGGGCUCAACCUUGGAACUGCAUCUGAUACUGGUAGACUAGAGUUUUGGAGAGGGAAGUAGAAUUUCAGGUGUAGCGGUGAAAUGCUUAGAGAUCUGAAGGAAUACCAGUGGCGAAGGCGACUUCCUGGCCAAAAACUGACGCUGAGGUGCGAAAGCGUGGGUAGCAAACGGGAUUAGAAACCCUAGUAGUCC
RNAcentral lists this ribosomal RNA (274 nucleotides) under uncultured bacterium. RNAcentral describes it as "partial 16S ribosomal RNA". It matches the Rfam family "Bacterial small subunit ribosomal RNA", at positions 523 to 796 of the family's 1533-position model. The record is from RNAcentral.